This 497-nucleotide ribosomal RNA is filed under the name uncultured bacterium. Its description in RNAcentral is "partial 16S ribosomal RNA". It matches the Rfam family "Bacterial small subunit ribosomal RNA", at positions 899 to 1397 of the family's 1533-position model. The record is from RNAcentral.
ACUCAAAGGAAUUGACGGGGGCCCGCACAAGCGGCGGAGCAUGUUGCUUAAUUCGACGCAACGCGAAGAACCUUACCAAGGUUUGACAUGCAGGGAAAAGCCUCAGAGAUGGGGUGUCCGUAAGGGCCCUGCACAGGUGGUGCAUGGCUGUCGUCAGCUCGUGUCGUGAGAUGUUGGGUUAAGUCCCGCAACGAGCGCAACCCUCGUUCUAUGUUGCCAGCGGAUAAUGCCGGGGACUCAUAGGAGACUGCCGGGGUCAACUCGGAGGAAGGUGGGGAUGACGUCAAGUCAUCAUGCCCCGUAUGUCUUGGGCUGCAAACAUGCUACAAUGGCCGGUACAGAGGGCUGCGAAACCGCAAGGUUGAGCGAAUCUCAAAAAGCCGGUCUCAGUUCGGAUUGGGGUCUGCAACUCGACCCCAUGAAGUCGGAGUCGCUAGUAAUCGCAGAUCAGCAACGCUGCGGUGAAUACGUUCCCGGGCCUUGCACACACCGCCCGU